UUUACGAAUGCAGAACCGCUGACUGUUGCACAUGCGUGUGCUAUGCUCUCUUAGCAUUUCAGAGUUUUUAAGAAAGGCAUUAUAUUUGGGACAUUUAUUUUCAGAAUCCUUUGAACUGGAAUUUUUCAAGUAACUGUCAACAGGUUUCCCGAGUUGAAGUCUGUUAUUUGCUGUGUGACUCUGCAGAGGCGUAAUCUGCAAGGUGACCCAUUCUCCUGUGAGUUUGCACUGCUGAUGGAAGUUCAGAAUGAUCCAGCCACAAAGCAGGUCAAGCACAGACUUCAACAUGGCCCUAACCACUCCUGGUCAUACACACUUCUGGCCUUGUUUAUACCAGCGAUUGGAAUUUGGCAACCCCCCAGCACAUAGUUGUAUAUUCUAGCUGUGAGUGCCUCUGGCUGUGCUAUGUGGGACGCCGCCUCAGCAUGGCCUGAUGAGUGGUACCAUGUCCAUGCCCAGGAUCUGAACCAGUGAAACCCGGUCCACCGAAGCGGAGCCCACCAAAACGGAGUGCACAAACUUAACCACUGGACCAUGGGGCCGGCCCCUAGGUGUUAUCUUAAAAGGACGGAAGGUGUAACGUAGCAGGAUAAAUUCAUUCUAGAAAACACAACACAUGUGAAUCAAUGAGCCUUUAUUGAGCAUCGAUUCCGGCCAGCAUUCAAUACAAGAUAAAGUAUGAGCGAAUAUUCCUGUCUUCCUGAAACUUACCGCCUAACUGCUGUUCCAAGGGUAGCACCCAGGCAAUAACCAAAGAACAAGACACAGAAAUUAAUUGUGUCAACUAGUAUGGAAGACUCCAAGAGCUGCAGACCUGAAUGAGCCUAAUCAUAUGAACAGCCAUUGAUUCCAUAAACAGUCACUGGGCAGUUUCUAGAUGUCGGGUACCUUGCUGUUGCCAUGUUGGACCCACAUGCACACAGAAGUUGACUCUUUGCCUUCAGGGAGCUUACAAUUGCUUUAGGGUGACAAGACAGACAGGCACAGGGAAAAGUAAUAAUCCUUGCAGCACUUCUUCAAGACUUCAAGCACCUUCAGAUCUACGGGGCAUUCCUUUCCUUUCUUUCAGUUUAAGUUUCCUUUUAUUUUGAAACUGAAACAGCAAAAUAAAGUGGUUUGGCUGAAACAACCUUCAGGAAAAGAAAGUGGAGCUUUUGUCAGUUAAAAAAAGAACUCCAACCUUUAUGCCAGCUCUCUACCUCCUCAGAAAAAGGAGAGGACAGAUUAGAGAGAGAAAGGGCACAAUCAAAUCAGGGGUGACAAUGGCCAGCAGAUUUACAGCAAAGGUCAACUUUCAAAGUUUCUCCAAUUACAGAAAAAAAAGGUAGCAUUUAAACUGAGAAAUAAUCACAAGCUGACAAACCCCUGACCCACUUGCAUUCGUAAAAAUCUUUGUUCCUUUUCUUGGGGGCAGUGAUGACUUGGGACAAGCAGAUGGUCCCAGCUCUCUUUUGGUUUCUUCCGCUUUUUGGAAGCAGGUUUGGGAUGGAGUGGUGAUGCCUUAUCCUCCCCACUCACAGACUCUGCACGAUCUCAUGGUUUCCACCAUUUGUAUUCUCCCUGACUCCCAAAUGCACAUCUCCACCCUAGUUCUUACUCCCGAGUUUUUGACUUGUGUAUUCAACUGUCUCCUUCUUGACUAUCUCAAAGGCAUCUCAAACUCAUCAGGUCUAAAAGGAAAUUCACCAUUUUCCUCACUAAAGUCCUUCCUCGUACUGUAUUUCUCUCUCAGUAAUUGCCAUCCCUGUCCACUCAACUGUUCCAGUCAGAAUCCUGGGAGGUAUCCUUGACUCUGGUCACUCUGGCUUCCAAUAUAACUUAUCCAAUCCUGUAGAUCAGCCUUCUCAGAAUUACCUGUGCCUUCCCUUCUUCCCCACUGAGCCUGUCUCAGUUCACUUCAUAUAUGGUUCACUAAAAUAGCUUCCUGAGGGGCUGGCCCCGUGGCCGAGUGGUUAAGUUCAUGCGCUCUGCUUCGGCGGCCCAGGGUUUCGCCAGUUCGGAUCCUGGGCGCAGACAUGGCACCGCUCAUCAGACCAUGCUGAGGCAGCAUCCCACAUGCCACAACUAGAGGGACCCACAACUAAAAAUACACGGCUGUGUACUGGAGGGCUUUGGGAGAAAAAGGAAAAAUGAAAUCUUUAAAAAAAAAAAAA
Long non-coding RNA from Equus caballus (horse), 2153 nucleotides. The record is from Ensembl. Lineage: Eukaryota; Metazoa; Chordata; Mammalia; Perissodactyla; Equidae.